RNAcentral lists this ribosomal RNA (1473 nucleotides) under Stigeoclonium subsecundum. RNAcentral's name for it is "eukaryotic LSU rRNA". It matches the Rfam family "Eukaryotic large subunit ribosomal RNA", at positions 1 to 1504 of the family's 3401-position model. Lineage: Eukaryota; Viridiplantae; Chlorophyta; Chlorophyceae; Chaetophorales; Chaetophoraceae. The record is from RNAcentral.
UCGACCUGAGCUCAGGCAAGAUUACCCGCUGAACUUAAGCAUAUCAAUAAGCGGAGGAAAAGAAACUAACAAGGAUUCCCCUAGUAACGGCGAGCGAACCGGGAAUAGCCCAACUUGGAAAUCUCCCUCGGAGAAUUGUAGUCUAUAGAAGCGCCCUCUGCAGCGGCCGGGUCCCAAGUCCCCUGGAAGGGGGCGUCGUAGAGGGUGAGAACCCCGUCGGACCUAGGUGCGGCUGCCUCACGAGGUGCUUUCGAAGAGUCGGGUUGUUUGGGAAUGCAGCCCAAAGCUGGUGGUAAAUCCCAUCUAAGGCUAAAUAUUGGCGAGAGACCGAUAGCGAACAAGUACCGCGAGGGAAAGAUGAAAAGAACUUUGAAAAGAGAGUUAAAAAGUGCUUGAAAUUGUUGAGGGGGAAGCGAUUGGCAGCUGCGUGUGCACCCAGGCUUACGCCGUUCUAACGAUCGGCUGCAUGCGCUGGGUGUUGGUCAGCAUGGGUUGGCUUGGCAGGAUAAACGCGGGGGUUGUUACUCCGUCUAUGCUGCCGGGCCGACCGAGGCGUGAAGGCCGCUCUUGUCCCUCGGGAUCUGCGGCCUCGAGAUGCUGGCGGAAGGCUUUCAAUCGGCCCGUCUUGAAACACGGACCAAGGAGUCUAACAUGUAUGCGAGCUGGUGGGUGGUAAACCCAUGAGGCGCAAGUAACCUGACUUUGGUGGGAUGGCUUAGGCCUGCACCAUCGACCGACCGUGAUCUUCUGUGAAAGGUUCGAGUACGAGCAUACCUGUUGGGACCCGAAAGAUGGUGAACUAUGCCUGAGCAGGGCGAAGCCAGAGGAAACUCUGGUGGAGGCUCGUAGAUGUGCUGACGUGCAAAUCGCUUUUCGGACUUGGGUAUAGGGGCGAAAGACUAAUCGAACCAUCUAGUAGCUGGUUCCCUCCGAAGUUUCCCCCAGGAUAGCUGGAGCUUGUGUGUCAGUUUUAUCGGGUAAAGCUAAUGAUUAGAGGUUCGGGGGAUGAAACAUCUUCCACCUAUUCUCAAACUUUAAAUAGGUAAGACGUGUAAGUUGCUUAAUUGAACUUACGCAUUCAAUGAGAGCUCCAAGUGGGCCAUUUUUGGUAAGCAGAACUGGCGAUGCGGGAUGAACCGAUAGUUGGGUUAAGGUGCCGGACUACGCGCUAACCUAGAUCCCACAAAGGGUGUUGAUUGAUACAGACAGCAGGACGGUGGUCAUGGAAGUCGAAAUCCGCUAAGGAGUGUGUAACAACUCACCUGCCGAAUCAAUUAGCCCCGAAAAUGGAUGGCGCUGAAGCGCGUGACCUAUACCCGGCCAUGGGGGCAAGUGCGAGGCUCCCAUGAGUAGGAGGGCGUGGGUGUCGCUGCGCAGCCUGGGGCGUGAGCCCGGGUGAAGCGGCACCUAGUGCAGAUCUUGGUGGUAGUAGCAAAUAUUCAAAUGAGAACUUUGAAGACUGAAGGGGAGAAA